GCCCAAGAGAUCGGGAUAACACCUGGAAACAGAUGCUAAUACCGGAUAACAACAGAUGAUGCCUAUCAACUGUUUAAAAGAUGGUUCUGCUAUCACUCUUGGAUGGACCUGCGGUGCAUUAGCUAGUUGGUAGGGUAACGGCCUACCAAGGCGAUGAUGCAUAGCCGAGUUGAGAGACUGAUCGGCCACAUUGGGACUGAUACACGGCCCAAACUCCUACGGGAGGCAGCAGCGG
This 235-nucleotide ribosomal RNA is filed under the name uncultured Lactobacillus sp. RNAcentral describes it as "partial 16S ribosomal RNA". It matches the Rfam family "Bacterial small subunit ribosomal RNA", at positions 128 to 357 of the family's 1533-position model. The record is from RNAcentral. Lineage: Bacteria; Bacillati; Bacillota; Bacilli; Lactobacillales; Lactobacillaceae.